GGGUUGUGAGGUUAAGCGACUAAGCGUACACGGUGGAUGCCCUGGCAGUCAGAGGCGAUGAAGGACGUGCUAAUCUGCGAUAAGCGUCGGUAAGGUGAUAUGAACCGUUAUAACCGGCGAUUUCCGAAUGGGGAAACCCAGUGUGAUUCGUCACACUAUCAUUAACUGAAUCCAUAGGUUAAUGAGGCGAACCGGGGGAACUGAAACAUCUAAGUACCCCGAGGAAAAGAAAUCAACCGAGAUUCCCCCAGUAGCGGCGAGCGAACGGGGAGCAGCCCAGAGCCUGAAUCAGUGUGUGUGUUAGUGGAAGCGUCUGGAAAGGCGUGCGAUACAGGGUGACAGCCCCGUACACAAAAAUGCACAUGCUGUGAGCUCGAUGAGUAGGGCGGGACACGUGGUAUCCUGUCUGAAUAUGGGGGGACCAUCCUCCAAGGCUAAAUACUCCUGACUGACCGAUAGUGAACCAGUACCGUGAGGGAAAGGCGAAAAGAACCCCGGCGAGGGGAGUGAAAAAGAACCUGAAACCGUGUACGUACAAGCAGUGGGAGCACAGAGCAAUCUGUGUGACUGCGUACCUUUUGUAUAAUGGGUCAGCGACUUAUAUUCUGUAGCAAGGUUAACCGAAUAGGGGAGCCGAAGGGAAACCGAGUCUUAACUGGGCGUUAAGUUGCAGGGUAUAGACCCGAAACCCGGUGAUCUAGCCAUGGGCAGGUUGAAGGUUGGGUAACACUAACUGGAGGACCGAACCGACUAAUGUUGAAAAAUUAGCGGAUGACUUGUGGCUGGGGGUGAAAGGCCAAUCAAACCGGGAGAUAGCUGGUUCUCCCCGAAAGCUAUUUAGGUAGCGCCUCGUGAAUUCAUCUCCGGGGGUAGAGCACUGUUUCGGCAAGGGGGUCAUCCCGACUUACCAACCCGAUGCAAACUGCGAAUACCGGAGAAUGUUAUCACGGGAGACACACGGCGGGUGCUAACGUCCGUCGUGAAGAGGGAAACAACCCAGACCGCCAGCUAAGGUCCCAAAGUCAUGGUUAAGUGGGAAACGAUGUGGGAAGGCCCAGACAGCCAGGAUGUUGGCUUAGAAGCAGCCAUCAUUUAAAGAAAGCGUAAUAGCUCACUGGUCGAGUCGGCCUGCGCGGAAGAUGUAACGGGGCUAAACCAUGCACCGAAGCUGCGGCAGCGACGCUGUGCGUUGUUGGGUAGGGGAGCGUUCUGUAAGCCUGCGAAGGUGUGCUGUGAGGCAUGCUGGAGGUAUCAGAAGUGCGAAUGCUGACAUAAGUAACGAUAAAGCGGGUGAAAAGCCCGCUCGCCGGAAGACCAAGGGUUCCUGUCCAACGUUAAUCGGGGCAGGGUGAGUCGACCCCUAAGGCGAGGCCGAAAGGCGUAGUCGAUGGGAAACAGGUUAAUAUUCCUGUACUUGGUGUUACUGCGAAGGGGGGACGGAGAAGGCUAUGUUGGCCGGGCGACGGUUGUCCCGGUUUAAGCGUGUAGGCUGGUUUUCCAGGCAAAUCCGGAAAAUCAAGGCUGAGGCGUGAUGACGAGGCACUACGGUGCUGAAGCAACAAAUGCCCUGCUUCCAGGAAAAGCCUCUAAGCAUCAGGUAACAUCAAAUCGUACCCCAAACCGACACAGGUGGUCAGGUAGAGAAUACCAAGGCGCUUGAGAGAACUCGGGUGAAGGAACUAGGCAAAAUGGUGCCGUAACUUCGGGAGAAGGCACGCUGAUAUGUAGGUGAAGCGACUUGCUCGUGGAGCUGAAAUCAGUCGAAGAUACCAGCUGGCUGCAACUGUUUAUUAAAAACACAGCACUGUGCAAACACGAAAGUGGACGUAUACGGUGUGACGCCUGCCCGGUGCCGGAAGGUUAAUUGAUGGGGUCAGCGCAAGCGAAGCUCUUGAUCGAAGCCCCGGUAAACGGCGGCCGUAACUAUAACGGUCCUAAGGUAGCGAAAUUCCUUGUCGGGUAAGUUCCGACCUGCACGAAUGGCGUAAUGAUGGCCAGGCUGUCUCCACCCGAGACUCAGUGAAAUUGAACUCGCUGUGAAGAUGCAGUGUACCCGCGGCAAGACGGAAAGACCCCGUGAACCUUUACUAUAGCUUGACACUGAACAUUGAGCCUUGAUGUGUAGGAUAGGUGGGAGGCUUUGAAGUGUGGACGCCAGUCUGCAUGGAGCCGACCUUGAAAUACCACCCUUUAAUGUUUGAUGUUCUAACGUUGACCCGUGAUCCGGGUUGCGGACAGUGUCUGGUGGGUAGUUUGACUGGGGCGGUCUCCUCCUAAAGAGUAACGGAGGAGCACGAAGGUUGGCUAAUCCUGGUCGGACAUCAGGAGGUUAGUGCAAUGGCAUAAGCCAGCUUGACUGCGAGCGUGACGGCGCGAGCAGGUGCGAAAGCAGGUCAUAGUGAUCCGGUGGUUCUGAAUGGAAGGGCCAUCGCUCAACGGAUAAAAGGUACUCCGGGGAUAACAGGCUGAUACCGCCCAAGAGUUCAUAUCGACGGCGGUGUUUGGCACCUCGAUGUCGGCUCAUCACAUCCUGGGGCUGAAGUAGGUCCCAAGGGUAUGGCUGUUCGCCAUUUAAAGUGGUACGCGAGCUGGGUUUAGAACGUCGUGAGACAGUUCGGUCCCUAUCUGCCGUGGGCGCUGGAGAACUGAGGGGGGCUGCUCCUAGUACGAGAGGACCGGAGUGGACGCAUCACUGGUGUUCGGGUUGUCAUGCCAAUGGCACUGCCCGGUAGCUAAAUGCGGAAGAGAUAAGUGCUGAAAGCAUCUAAGCACGAAACUUGCCCCGAGAUGAGUUCUCCCUGACUCCUUGAGAGUCCUGAAGGAACGUUGAAGACGACGACGUUGAUAGGCCGGGUGUGUAAGCGCAGCGAUGCGUUGAGCUAACCGGUACUAAUGAACCGUGAGGCUUAACCUUACAACGCCGAAGGUGUUU
This 2932-nucleotide ribosomal RNA is filed under the name Escherichia coli. RNAcentral describes it as "23S ribosomal RNA". It matches the Rfam family "Bacterial large subunit ribosomal RNA". Lineage: Bacteria; Pseudomonadati; Pseudomonadota; Gammaproteobacteria; Enterobacterales; Enterobacteriaceae. The record is from RNAcentral.